This 365-nucleotide ribosomal RNA is filed under the name uncultured bacterium. RNAcentral describes it as "bacterial SSU rRNA". It matches the Rfam family "Bacterial small subunit ribosomal RNA", at positions 126 to 525 of the family's 1533-position model. The record is from RNAcentral.
CUACCUAGUAGUACGGAAUAGCCAUUAGAAAUGGUGGGUAAUACUGUAUAAUCCCCGAGGGGGAAAGAUUUAUCGCUAUUAGAUGAGCCUACGUUAGAUUAGCUAGUUGGUGAGGUAAUGGCUUACCAAGGCUAUGAUCUAUAGCUGGUCUGAGAGGACGAUCAGCCACACUGGAACUGAGAUACGGUCCAGACUCCUACGGGAGGCAGCAGUGGGGAAUAUUGGACAAUGGGCGAAAGCCUGAUCCAGCUAUGCCGCGUGAGUGAAGAAGGCCUUCGGGUUGUAAAACUCUUUCAAUAGGGAAGAUAAUGACGGUACCUAUAAAAGAAGUCCCGGCAAACUCUAUGCCAGCAGCCGCGGUAAUA